UGUAUAUAUAGACUUGUCUUUUACCUUUCGAGACAGUCCAGUCUCUGUUGUCCACUUUUGGGACUUGUACUCAUUUUGUUAGUAGCUCUGUACUAGUGACUUCCAGGUUCUGGGAGAGAUCUUUAUUUGUAUAUAUGUUUUUGGUUUGCUUCCGCCUGUUUAUAUUGUUAUUUGUCUACUCUUGUUUAGUUUCUACCCUCAGA
This 203-nucleotide long non-coding RNA is filed under the name Solanum tuberosum (potato). RNAcentral's name for it is "long non-coding RNA (STUB_LNC002750)". The record is from RNAcentral. Lineage: Eukaryota; Viridiplantae; Streptophyta; Magnoliopsida; Solanales; Solanaceae.